Molecule: long non-coding RNA, 2544 nt
Filed under: Sorghum bicolor (sorghum)
Lineage: Eukaryota; Viridiplantae; Streptophyta; Magnoliopsida; Poales; Poaceae
Description: long non-coding RNA (SBIC_LNC016289)
Source: RNAcentral
CUAAUCUUGGUGUGCACAUAAGUGAAGACACAAACAUAUUAGAGUUACAAUUUAAAUUGAUUAACUCAAUAUGCUGUACUCUUUAAAAUUGUUCAUGGCACCAUUCUCUUAAUCUCAGUCUUAACUAAACAAGUUAAAACAUUAUAUUCAAUCUUGGGAAGAUGACAAUCAUACUUAUUUGAAUAUUUAUAUAGAGAUAGACAAUCCUUCCAUUGGUUAAGCAAUUUCAUUCUUUUCUGUCAUGUGAACUUAAAUGCAACAUUAAGUGCUUAAUCUUUUGAUCUUACCACUCAUAAAUAAAUAAAUCAUGUAACCCAACUUUAUCUUGUUUAAUGUGCCUAAGGAUGGAGAAAAAUAAAUAAAGAAAUAGAUUUGGUUGUGUUGGCGUUUUUCCACCACCAGAGCCCAUGCACUUGAUCUCUACGUUAGUUUUGCAAACAGGACAACACAUCAAGCAAAGUUUAUUAAUUCUACAAGUGAAAGUUCUAUGAACAUGCACACUGAGCAAGAUGCUGCCAGCUACUAUUAAAAUUCUCCUUCAACCUGCUGGCCAAAUCAAAAAACAAAGGUGACAUCAUCAUCCCUGGAGGUAUGCAACUAACAAGACCUCCAUCUCUCAAAAUGGAGAGAUACACAAGAGUGGAAGAAGAAGUCCAGUUCGAAGGACUACAAAACAUCGAACCCUCGCCGCAACACUUGCUCUUAUAAGCAUGAGCCCCUCCAUGAGGACCGCUCAACUUCAACGAGGGAGAAAGAGAAUAAAGCUAAAAGCCGGAGCCAGAAAAGAGAGAAGCAAAAGAGAUAGAAGCAAGAUGGAAGAAGGCACGUGCGGCAUCACCAUGAAAUGGGGAAUUGACUAUGGUUACCUCAGACAAUAAACCCACUGAGUAAGUUUCCUCCUCGAUCUAAGUCCUUUUGGUUGAAUUUAAGUUCUGUACCCUAGCCAUAAGGUUAGAAUGUUUGUUAUCUCUUGAAAUGCAUUUGUAAUUUAUUUAGUAGUAUAAUUUUGUCUACACACUAAAAGAUAUAAAAACAACAAAAAAAAUUUACUGCAUUACUCAUGGCAUCACAAGCCCCAUGUGGAUACCCUAUGGUAUUUUCCGAAGGAACAUCUGCUAUGGUGGCAUAAAAUAAAAAAGACAAAAAAUAUAGCAUUUAAAUUCCUGCAUCACAAAUAGAAAAUUAAAAAAUAAGAGACAAUCGAAAUCCUGUUUAAAUUAGACAACAUUAAACUAGCUCUUAAAGGUGAUUAAUUACUCUUUGGCUGACUGCUAACCCAUUAACAAAUUCAAGCCUCGAGUUUUGGUUUUCUUUUUAGAGGGAUUAUGCAGUAAUAACAUUAUGUCAAGGAGAGAGUUUAUUAGUGGCACCCACGUGGAGCGCUACCGGUUAGCUCACGCUGAAGAUCAUCAACACCAACUAUUGCAAACAUCUAGCUUGGAAUAGGAGCAUCCCCUAGUUAUCAGGUACCCAGGCGAUUAUAGAGUCUAUUUUAUAUAGUCAUAAAAAUACCAAAAAUAUAUGGUUCACAUGAAGGUCCAUAUCUUUACAGUCUUCUGUGUCCAAUAGAAAUGAAUAGAAACCAAACAAAAUACUUAUCUAUAUAUUAAGGUGUGAUCAUAGAGUGUGUCUGCAGUCAGUCUAGUUUAGAGUCAAAUAAAAAUAGAGAAUAUGAAAAUUUUGUCUUGAAGAUGAUGAAUAAUUGCUCUACAGUAAUUGCUUUCAAGUGCCUAGUUUUCAACCAUGAAUUCUCUUGAGUUUUAGACAUGACCACUUUAAUAUAAGAAUUUACUCUGAACCUAAAAUUUGUGGAGACAUUUGUUUAAGCUGAGUCUAGGUAAUUGAUUUUAUACAUGAAGGUCUAAGCUGCUAUUUAUCUUAUUCCUAGCAUUACUAAGUUUUGGAGAUUUAUUUUCAAAAACCCAAAACCUUACAUGAUGAGCUCUUGUAUGAUAAAGUUCAAAUUCCUACCAAAGCCAUAUAUGAUACAUUUAGAGUUAGGAAAACCUUAGCACAUUCAUGCUGCUUGCUUUACAUUGAGUUUAGUCAACCUUUGGAGUAUACCUUAUGAGAGUCUUGUCAUACUUUUAAAAUCAAGAUCACUUACGCACUCCACUUACAUAUGCAUUGCUCCUACUUUUGGAGUAAGCACAAUUAUUUUCCAUUUUCAUCCAGAUCCACCUUAAAAAUGUUUUUUCUCCUACACUAGGAGUAAACACCCAAAAAUAUACCCUAUAGGACAGCCACCACUUAAUUGCUCUAAGUUCUUAUCAUUAUCUCUCCGAUUAUUUAUAUUCAAAGGAUGCAUGUGGCUAUGCAAAAGUAUUAAAAAAAUAAAAAAGGGAGUAAAAGAUGGACAAGUGUCCUAGCAAUUAAAACAAUGUUUACAUCGAUGCCCGCCUCCCAUAGUAAUGAAAAAAGGAGAAAGAGAGAAUAAAGAUAGCCCAUGUUUUCCUACAAAAAGUUCUAAGGCGGGAGUAAUUUUUAAAGAGCAAAAGUAGAAUUAGGAUUAGCCACUAAAUACUAUAUAUACACCUAUCCACC